This 204-nucleotide ribosomal RNA is filed under the name uncultured bacterium. Its description in RNAcentral is "partial 16S ribosomal RNA". It matches the Rfam family "Bacterial small subunit ribosomal RNA", at positions 524 to 725 of the family's 1533-position model. The record is from RNAcentral.
UACGUAGGGUGCGAGCGUUGUCCGGAAUUACUGGGCGUAAAGAGCUCGUAGGCGGUUUGUCGCGUCUGCUGUGAAAACCUAAGGCUCAACCUUGGGCUUGCAGUGGGUACGGGCAGACUAGAGUGGCGGUAGGGGUGACUGGAAUUCCUGGUGUAGCGGUGGAAUGCGCAGAUAUCAGGAGGAACACCGAUGGCGAAAGGCAGG